RNAcentral lists this ribosomal RNA (494 nucleotides) under uncultured bacterium. Its description in RNAcentral is "partial 16S ribosomal RNA". It matches the Rfam family "Bacterial small subunit ribosomal RNA", at positions 28 to 507 of the family's 1533-position model. The record is from RNAcentral.
GACGAACGCUGGCGGCGUGCCUAAUACGUGCAAGUAGGACGCUGAAGGAGGAGCUUGCUUCUCUGGAUGAGUUGCGAACGGGUGAGUAACGCGUAGGUAACCUGCCUGGUAGCGGGGAUAACUAUUGGAAACGAUAGCUAAUACCGCAUAAUAGUAGAUGUUGCAUGACAUUUGCUUAAAAGGUGCAAUUGCAUCACUACCAGAUGGACCUGCGUUGAAUUAGCUAGUUGGUGGGGUAACGGCUCACCAAGGCGACGAUACAUAGCCGACCUGAGAGGGUGAUCGGCCACACUGGGACUGAGACACGGCCCAAACUCCUACGGGAGGCAGCAGUAGGGAAUCUUCGGCAAUGGACGGAAGUCUGACCGAGCAACGCCGCGUGAGUGAAGAAGGUUUUCGGAUCGUAAAGCUCUGUUGUAAGAGAAGAACGAGUGUGAGAGUGGAAAGUUCACACUGUGACGGUAUCUUACCAGAAAGGGACGGCUAACUACGUG